CUCUAUGGCCAUACCACCCUGAACGUGUCCGUUCUCGUCUGAUCUCGGAAGCUAAGCACGGUCGGGCCUGGUUAGUACUUGGAUGGGAGAAAGUCAAUUUACUUCUUUGGGCUUCAGUUUCCUCUAUGGC
Ribosomal RNA from Gorilla gorilla gorilla (western lowland gorilla), 130 nucleotides. The record is from Ensembl. NCBI's taxonomy places the organism in Eukaryota, Metazoa, Chordata, Mammalia, Primates, Hominidae.